Loxodonta africana (African savanna elephant) is the source of this 6058-nucleotide long non-coding RNA. RefSeq lists it as uncharacterized. Lineage: Eukaryota; Metazoa; Chordata; Mammalia; Proboscidea; Elephantidae. The record is from RefSeq and is a predicted model, not a curated record. The transcript has 3 exons.
GGCCCUGUGCGCGGGAACCGACGUCCGGGAGUGGUGGCCGGAGGGAGAGGAGAAAGGUGGCAGGGACGGAGCAGCUGGCUGUGGGGGGUUAGAGGAAUGGGCAGGGGGCUGGCUCUGCAACCAGACAGGAGGUCGGUGCGAUGAAUGGACAGGUUACAUGCGGACAGACGGAUGGAUGGAUGGACGGACCAGCGGCUGGAGUCUCAGACUCACACAGUGGGAGGGAAAGAGGGACGGUUAGACAUACCAGCAGUCUGAAGGAUGGAUGGGAGAGCUGGCAGAUGGUUGGAGGAGGGAAGGAUGGAUGGAUGAGUGGAAGGGCAGAUGGAAACACAGUUGGAUGUAACAGAUAGAUGGUGAGGGGAACCGCUGGCCAAAUGGAUAUAGAGUCGAAUGCCCAGAAGUGCAGAAAGAAAAGGGCCAGACAGCCACUAGAAACGGAAAACGGGAGAAUGCACUGACUGGGCUGUGAGGUUGUAGCAGGUCAGCUUUGCAUUCUUCCCGGUGAGAGCACGUUUCCUAACUCACCUGAUUUGAAGGGACCAAAGUUUCCAUCCUCCCCUCUCUAGGGCCACCAUGUGCCCACAGUGAGAGGCCCAUGCCUGGCUCAAAGUGUGGCCAAUCCCAAAAGAGGACUCCCCGAGUCAGCCAAAGUGCUCCAGGCCUGUCCCAAAACACUGGCAAGGAAGGAGGAAACUGGGCAGGACCCAUUCCUGAACACAGAGCCAUUUGCUAUCUUCACCUCGAAUACUUAGGAGGUCCCUUUGACCACAAGAUUCCAGUGACCAAAGAGAGGCCACCCCAGCAUGGCCUCUGUCACUCUCUUUUUCAAAAGGAAAGCAGAAGCUGUGAGGGCGUGUGAACACACAUCUCACGCAUGUGACCCGCAUGUGCAUAGACAUCCUCUUUAAGCUUCCAUUUCUGGGUAGUCCCUCUCUGGUUUUUAACAGCUGAGGACGUGCAGUUGUGUCUCCUCAUAGAUCUUCUACCUGGCCUUGCAUACGCUGUGCUUAAUUUGAGCACUCACUGGAUGGACUAGAAAAGGGACUACAAAACAAGAUGGUUUCAAGGGGCUUCACAGGUGUGCCAAUAGCCUACCAUGAAUCCCAGGAUGGAUGCCCUCCCUGAAAGAUAUUCAAGGUCAUCUAAAAGGACAACAAUGAAAACAAGACCUGUGCUUCAAACAUAAUUUCUAUACGACAUAUGAUACCGGAAGCAGUGACAUAUUUUAUAAAGUCCUUCUCUGGUUUUUAACAGCUGAGGAAGUGAUACUCUGAUACUAGGGGUCCUUUUGGUUAGAAGCAUUUUUUGAUGUUUAAUUUCUACUCAGUUUUUCAAGAAAACAUACAUGGUAUUGUUUACACUGUUCUGAGUACUUGACACUAUUCCUCAGAACAGCCUGAGGAAGAAGGUACUAUUAUUAACCCAUUUUACAGAUGAGGCAUGGAGAAGCUGGGUAACUUCCCCAAGGCCACAUAGCUAGUAGGAAGUGGCAGAACUGGAAUCUGAACGCAGGUGUUCAGAUUUCAGAGUCUAAGUUUUCCACUGCCAGGCUCUACUGACUCUCUAUAAACAAGUUCACAUUGGAAAAAUAAGACAAUAGUGUCCCCCUCCCUGCCAAGGCUAACAAUCUUCCUGCCCAGAAGAAACCACCGUUAACAGUUUCCUUCCGGAAAAAUAAGCACAGAAGAAAAUGGAAGGCAGUGGCCACUAGGUGGCAGACCUCAGCCCCCUAGAUACAGGACUUAGGAAGCCAAAAGCCUGGGACACAGGCGAUGAUUAAAAAAACUUCCAGCAAAGGCAAUUGUCACAGGUCAAUCCUAGGCUCAUGGCUUAGAGGAUGCAAGACACUUGAAACUUGGUUGCUUUGGAGUGGGACUGAUCCCACUUUAACCGGAACCCUGCCACGGAUAAGCUGUGUGACCUUGGUCUUUGUUGGAAGAGGGACCACAAGGAAGCAUCUGACUACUCCAUCAUCUUGGCCUCGCCUCCCCGCCCCCACCCCCACCCUCGCCACCCAGUUUCCAAGGAGUGGCUGGUGGAUUCAAAUUGCCAACCUUUUUGGUUAGCAGCCAUAGCACACCACAGCUCUUAACUGCUAUGCCACCAGGGCUCCUUCAUUAAUAUUAUAUGCAAGUAAAAUUUUGCUGAAGAUAAUCCAAAAGCAGUUGUUGCAGUACUUGGAUAGGGAACUGCCAUAAAUUCAAGCCAGAUUCAGAAGAGGGCAUGGAAUGAAGGAUACCAUUGUGAUAUCAGGUGGAUCUUGGCUGAAAGCAUAGAAUACUGGAAAAAUGUUUACCUGUGUUUACUCAAUUGUGUGGACCGUAACAAAUUAUGGAUAAAAUUGUUAAGAAUGGGAAUUCCAGAACACUAAUUGUGCUCAUGAGGAACCUGUACAUAGACAAAGAGGCAGUCAUUUGAGCGAACAAGGGGAUACUGUGUGUUUUAAAGUCAGGAAAGGUGUGCUUUAGGGUAAUAUCCUUUCACCACACUUAUUCAAUCUGUAGGCUGAGCAAAUAAUCCGAGAAGGUGGACUAUGUGAAGAAGAAUGUGGCAUCAGGAUUGGAGGAAGACUUAUUAACAACCUGUAAUAUGCAGAUGACACAACCUUGCUUGCUGAAAGUGAAGAGGACUUGAAGCACGUACUGAUGAAGAUCAAAGACUACAGCCUCCAUUAUGGAUUACACCUCAACAUAAAAAAGGAAAACUCCUCACAACUGAACCAAUAAGCAACAUCAUGAUAAAUGGAGAAAAGACUGACGUUGUCAAGGAUUUCACUUUACUUGGAUUCACAAUCAAUGCCCAUGAAAGCAGCAGUCAAGAAAUCAAAUGACGUAUUGUAUUAUGCUGGACAAAUCUUCUGCAGAAGACCUCUUUGAAGUGUUGAAAAGCAAGUAUGUCACUUUGAGGACUAAGGUGCACCUGACCCAAGCCACGGUGUUUUCAAUCACUUAAAAUGCAUGCAACAGCUGAACAAUGAAUAAGGCAGGCUGAAGAAAAACUGAUGUAUUUGAUUUACAGUGAUGGUGAAGAAUACUGACUAUACCAUGGGCUGCCAGAAGAAUGAACAAAACUGUCCUGGAAUACAUACAGCAAGAAUGCUCCUUGGAAGCAAGGAUGGUGAAACUUCAUCUCACGUACUUUCAACAUGUUAUCAGGAGGGACUAGUCCCUGGAGAAGGACAUCAUGCUUGGUAAAGUAGAUGGUUAGCAAAAAAGAGGAUGACCCUCAACAAGAUGGGCUGACAUGAUGGCUGCAACAAUGGGCUCAACCACAGCAACAACUGUGAAGAUUCUGCAGGAUCAGGCAAUGUUUUAUUCUGUUAUACACAGUGUCGCUGUGAGUCAGAACAGACUCAAGGACACCUAACAACAACACAUAUUAUAUGUGCAUAACCUUAAACUGCAUAGCUUUUUUUUUUAUGUUUUAGUUUUCAUGGUAAAAAAGUGUCACACCCACCCUAAAAAUAGGCACAUAUUGAUCUGCUCAUUACAAAAUGUGGUCUCUAAUGGAGAUUACUUGGGGCAGUGAUGGUUCAGUGGUAGAAUUCUCCCUUUUAUGUGGGGGACCCAAGUUAGAUUCCCAACAUAAGUGCCUCAGUGCAGCUACCACCAAUGAAAAGUAUGCAUUGUUAUGAUGCUGAACCGGUUUCAAUGAAGCUUCCAGAGUAAGACAAACUAGAAAGAAAGGUAUGGCCAGCUCCUUGCAAAAAUCUGUGAGUGAAAACCCUACAGAUCACAACAGUCCAAUUCUGUUGUGCAUGGGGUCACCAUGAGUUGGGGGCCAGUUUGACAACAAAUGGAAAUUAUGAUUAACAUGGUACCCACAGAGCACUUUGCAUGGAGUGUUUUCAUGUCACCAAUAUUUACUAUGAUCUUAGAGAUAGCCAAGAAUCACUUUUGGCCUUUCACAACCAUUCCGAUUCCUCAGAACUAUGCUCUGGAUUAGCCUAACACUUGCUGAUGACCUAUCAUUCCUAAAAUGCCCAAGGGUCACACUGUCUUGCCUUACUGGACCAAAAUAUCUUAUGUUACUUAAAAUAUAAUCUUGCCAAUAAAAAUGCAGUACCACUUUUUUCAUAUUUUGUAAAAGCAUAGUUUAUAAUGCUAAUAAUUUCCUAUAAUUCAUUCCAAAGGAAAAUCAUUAAUAGAGCCAUAUUCCUCACAAGAUCCAAAAUUCAGCAAUAAGAGGGCACAAACCAUCCAUAAGACAAGAUAUAAAUUAGCAAUGGAGAAACAAGCCUAAUGAUUAUAAUGUCCAGAUGGAAAUGAAUAACUGAGUCAUUGUCAAAUCCAAGAGCAUCUUAAUAAGUUCCUGCAUCAUCUUUGUUGAUUGAAUUUGACUGGAAGAUAUCAGAAAAUGAUUACUACCCGAAAACAUAUCUUCAUUUCCUAUGCUCAUUAGCAUUUGGCCUGUGAGUUACUCACAUUUUAUAUUGAAAGGGGAAUUUAUUCCCAAAAAGGUCCUUAGGUUUCUAACCCUCAAAAGUAGCCCAUGUUUAAAAAAAAAAAAAAAAAAACCCAAACUGGAAUUAACUUAUUAGAAUUAAAAUACUGAGACUCUAGUAUUUGGACAAAUUUUUUUAUCAAAGAAAGAAUUCAAACACUUCUUUUACCAGGCAAGCUGGUAACUACAAGUUGUCAUGGAAACAGGAGGUAUUCAAAUUAUACGAGGAAUGACGUUCUUCGUCUAGCUAGGUGCUCAUCUCCUGUAAAUAGGGAAAAAUUAUAGCGGAAAUCUAUUAUAUUUCUUUCAAAUUUGCAUUAAAAACAAUCAUUUCCUUUAUUUUAUGUAGAAACACAUACAUACACAUACACACACAGCCUCACUCUAAUAAACUGGAGAAUUAAAAUUACUUGCAAAAGGAUUGGUGCGUAAAUAAAAAGACAUAAAAUGAAAAUGAAUCUCAUGAUAUGAAUCUAUUGACGCACAACGAAUGGAUGCAAGAGUGGAAAUGAGAUAAUGUAAUACCUCCCUCACCUGUAACGGCACAUAUUUUUCUUCAACAGCAUUCCAAAAACCCCUUGCUGUCCAGUAUAGGACAGAGUAGAACUACCCCAUAGGGUCUCUAAGGCUGUAGUCUUUAUGGAAGCAGACUGCCACAUCUUUCUCCCGCAGAGUGGGCUAGUGGUUUCAAACUGCCAAGCUUUUAGUUAGCAGCCAGUCAUUUUAACCACCGUGCCAUCAGGGCUCCUCUCAAUAGCAUAGGGACUAUAUUUAUAGAAUGUCCAGGUCCAGAACAGUUCUCUGAAGUUGAGGCAACUUGAGAACAGGGGUAGGGUCACCACUGCUGGUUACAGCACAGGAUCUUGUUAGUCCACAGAUUUCUAAGCGAGACAGUGAGGGGGUGCGGGCAAUGUGGUGCUGGGCAGGCACCAUUAAUUCAGUUAAUCAGUAAUAAACACAUGGCAAAAGCCAAUUUUGUAGGGAGAGUAUCUGCAAUGCGGAGGGCCUACGAAGUCACCAUUCUCAUUCAAGAGGCAGUCUGGAAUUCCUUCUGAUCAGGGUAAUCCUGUUGUUGUUAGGUGCCAUCAAGUCAAUUUGGACUCACAGACACCCCAUGUAACAGAGCAGAACACCCCAUAGGGUUUCCUAGACUGUAAUCUUUACAGGAGCAGAUUGCCAGGUCUUUUUUCCUGCAGAGUCACUGGAUGGGUUUGAAUCGGUGACCUUUUGGUUAGCAGCCGAGCACUAACCUAGGAGGAACAUAUUUUAAUUACUUUUUUCAGGUGAAAAUAAUUCCUCAUCUCACUCCAAAAAAAGAAAUUUUUUUUUGUGUGUGUGUGUGUUUUGCAACCUAGAGUGGUGGAGUCUCAAUGGAGCUCUUCUCCAAACACUUAGAUAAUAAUUCAAAUUAAAAUACCAACAGCAACAAUAGUGAGAAUACUUAACUCUCUGCCAUCUUUAAUUCCCUCCUCUAAUCCUCACACCAACCUUAGGAGGUAGGUAGUAUCAUUAUCCCUAUUUCAUACAUUGGAAGCUCACAGCAGUUAGAUAACAUUUCCAGUCAUAGUCACAGAGUGACAAGCAAAGUGUUCAAACCGAAGUCUACCUGGUG